GAACGUUGGCGGCGUGCCUAAUACAUGCAAGUCGAGCGAACGGACGAGAAGCUUGCUUCUCUGAUGUUAGCGGCGGACGGGUGAGUAACACGUGGAUAACCUACCUAUAAGACUGGGAUAACUUCGGGAAACCGGAGCUAAUACCGGAUAAUAUUUUGAACCGCAUGGUUCAAAAGUGAAAGACGGUCUUGCUGUCACUUAUAGAUGGAUCCGCGCUGCAUUAGCUAGUUGGUAAGGUAACGGCUUACCAAGGCAACGAUGCAUAGCCGACCUGAGAGGGUGAUCGGCCACACUGGAACUGAGACACGGUCCAGACUCCUACGGGAGGCAGCAGUAGGGAAUCUUCCGCAAUGGGCGAAAGCCUGACGGAGCAACGCCGCGUGAGUGAUGAAGGUCUUCGGAUCGUAAAACUCUGUUAUUAGGGAAGAACAUAUGUGUAAGUAACUGUGCACAUCUUGACGGUACCUAAUCAGAAAGCCACGGCUAACUACGUGCCAGCAGCCGCGGUAAUACGUAGGUGGCAAGCGUUAUCCGGAAUUAUUGGGCGUAAAGCGCGCGUAGGCGGUUUUUUAAGUCUGAUGUGAAAGCCCACGGCUCAACCCGUGGAGGGUCAUUGGAAACUGGAAAACUUGAGUGCAGAAGAGGAAAGUGGAAUUCCAUGUGUAGCGGUGAAAUGCGCAGAGAUAUGGAGGAACACCAGUGGCGAAGGCGACUUUCUGGUCUGUAACUGACGCUGAUGUGCGAAAGCGUGGGGAUCAAACAGGAUUAGAUACCCUGGUAGUCCACGCCGUAAACGAUGAGUGCUAAGUGUUAGGGGGUUUCCGCCCCUUAGUGCUGCAGCUAACGCAUUAAGCACUCCGCCUGGGGAGUACGACCGCAAGGUUGAAACUCAAAGGAAUUGACGGGGACCCGCACAAGCGGUGGAGCAUGUGGUUUAAUUCGAAGCAACGCGAAGAACCUUACCAAAUCUUGACAUCCUUUGACAACUCUAGAGAUAGAGCCUUCCCCUUCGGGGGACAAAGUGACAGGUGGUGCAUGGUUGUCGUCAGCUCGUGUCGUGAGAUGUUGGGUUAAGUCCCGCAACGAGCGCAACCCUUAAGCUUAGUUGCCAUCAUUAAGUUGGGCACUCUAAGUUGACUGCCGGUGACAAACCGGAGGAAGGUGGGGAUGACGUCAAAUCAUCAUGCCCCUUAUGAUUUGGGCUACACACGUGCUACAAUGGACAAUACAAAGGGCAGCGAAACCGCGAGGUCAAGCAAAUCCCAUAAAGUUGUUCUCAGUUCGGAUUGUAGUCUGCAACUCGACUACAUGAAGCUGGAAUCGCUAGUAAUCGUAGAUCAGCAUGCUACGGUGAAUACGUUCCCGGGUCU
Molecule: ribosomal RNA, 1370 nt
Filed under: uncultured bacterium
Lineage: Bacteria
Description: bacterial SSU rRNA
Rfam family: Bacterial small subunit ribosomal RNA
Source: RNAcentral